CUGCAGUGAUUUUGGAGCCCAAAAAAACAAAGUCUGACACAGCCAGUAUAGAUAAAUUAAAAUCAGACAAAGAAGACUUUAAGACAAAUAACAUCAUUUAAGACAGAGUUUUUAUACAAUGAUUAAAGAUUAAAGUAACUAAAGCAACAUAACAAUUCUAAACAUGUACACACAUUAUUAAAUAGGUAGACUCAGUAAAUAUAAACAAAAGUCAAAAUACCUGCAGAAAUAAACUGACAAAUCACCAUGAUGGUGGGAGAUUACAGCACAUGUGUUUUUCAAUAAAUUAUUCAAGCAGGCAAAACAAUUCAGCAAAAAUAUAGAAGCACUGAAUAACACAAUUAACAACUUUCAUCCGAUGGGACAUUUAGAAAUGUUAUAUAUUUGAUUAGGCUAUAAAAGAUGUCUCAAUCUAUUUUAAAGAAUAGUUGUCACAUGAAUCUAAUUUAUUCCUCAAACUCAAAGAAUCUAGCUGUGAAUGUGGGGGAAAGAGGGUUCAAUCUGAAGUGAACAGAAACAAAUAUUCUGUCAUGUAAUACUACAAGAAAUAGACAUUAAAAUGUGCAAUAGAAAAAAAAGUUUAAAGGCUAUAUACUUCUUGCCCUUCUGAAUCUAUGAAGAGUUUAUCACCUAGGUAUUUUUUUAACCUCAAGAAUAAUAUAUAAUACAGUUCUGUAUUCUGAUGUUUUUAACCUAAUAUUACAUCAUAGGCAUUUUGUCAUGCCAUUGUUCUUGUCUUUUUCUUAGAAAAAGAUCCCCAGCCCUAAAGUUUCCCCUUCCUUUGGCCAGAAAUCAAAAGCCUCUAAAAAUAAACUCACAUCAAUAAGACACCUGCAGACCAACACACCCAGAAAAUCAGAAUUCCUUUUAGACUCAGUCUGGGUCAACCUCCUGCACAAUAUAUUUUAAUUCCUGCCACAGCCAAAUGCAUUUCCUUUUGUUAAAAUCUCAGUUGUGGUGAAAUAAAAGCUAACUUCUGUUCUCUCAGUCAACUGGAGGUUUAGAAUCAAACUACCCACAGAUUUUCCUUUUCUGGAAUAUAGUCAGUACCACCGCUUUUCCCACCGCAGAAACCCACAACCAUUGUUUCUUUCUAGUUUUUCGAUGAGCAAAUGGUUCUGCCUGAGCUUUUUCAAGAAAAAUUCACACAAGCCUUACCUCAUUGGAAUCUAGUUCCACAACAAACUAGUCCUUGAGUCAAAGUUGCAGGGAUGACUGUUAGUCUUCUUAGGGUAGAAAGAUACAGCAAGUAAAUUUCUUCAUGCAUUAACAUGAUAAGAAGAUUUGAAAGGUAACAAGGAAAAAUGCCCCUGGCUACUUUCACUUAGAAACUGGAGUGGGCCUUGCUGUCACCUGAGUGCUAAGCCCCUGGAAAGAAAAGGCACAAUUGUGACAGGAUUUUAAGGCUCCUCCCAUCAAAAUUCUUAGUUUUCUCUUUCUUUUUCAGUCAAAUCUGAAUAGUUUUUCUAUCUGUUGCAGGAAGGCGGACCCCUUCUAGGGCCCGAAAUUGGGCUCUUGUCUAGCACUCGGAAAUGAAUUGUCCCAGGAGACAC
RNAcentral lists this long non-coding RNA (1553 nucleotides) under Capra hircus (goat). RNAcentral's name for it is "lncRNA (ENSCHIG00010002788.1)". Lineage: Eukaryota; Metazoa; Chordata; Mammalia; Artiodactyla; Bovidae. The record is from RNAcentral.